GACGAACGCUGGCGGCGUGCCUAAUACAUGCAAGUCGAGCGAAGUUUUUCUGGUGCUUGCACCGGAAAAACUUAGCGGCGAACGGGUGAGUAACACGUAAAGAACCUGCCUCAUAGACUGGGACAACUAUUGGAAACGAUAGCUAAUACCGGAUAAUAGCAUUAACUGCAUGGUUGAUGUUUAAAAGUUGGUUUUGCUAACACUAUGAGAUGGCUUUGCGGUGCAUUAGCUAGUUGGUGGGGUAAAGGCCUACCAAGGCGACGAUGCAUAGCCGACCUGAGAGGGUGAUCGGCCACACUGGGACUGAGACACGACCCAGACUCCUACGGGAGGCAGCAGUAGGGAAUCUUCCGCAAUGGGCGAAAGCCUGACGGAGCAACGCCGCGUGAGUGAAGAAGGAUUUCGGUUCGUAAAGCUCUGUUGUUAGGGAAGAAUGAUUGUGUAGUAACUAUACACAGUAGAGACGGUACCUAACCAGAAAGCCACGGCUAACUACGUG
This 499-nucleotide ribosomal RNA is filed under the name uncultured bacterium. RNAcentral describes it as "partial 16S ribosomal RNA". It matches the Rfam family "Bacterial small subunit ribosomal RNA", at positions 28 to 507 of the family's 1533-position model. The record is from RNAcentral.